This 440-nucleotide ribosomal RNA is filed under the name uncultured bacterium. RNAcentral describes it as "partial 16S ribosomal RNA". It matches the Rfam family "Bacterial small subunit ribosomal RNA", at positions 338 to 795 of the family's 1533-position model. The record is from RNAcentral.
CCUACGGGAGGCAGCAGUAGGGAAUAUUGCUCAAUGGGGGAAACCCUGAAGCAGCAACGCCGCGUGGAGGAUGAAGGUUUUCGGAUUGUAAACUCCUUUUGUCAGAGAAGAAAAUGACGGUAUCUAACGAAUAAGCACCGGCUAACUCCGUCCCAGCAGCCGCGGUAAUACGGAGGGUGCACGCGUUACUCGGAAUUACUGGGCGUAAAGAGCGCGUAGGCGGGAUUGCAAGUCAAAUGUGAAAUCCUAUGGCUUAACCAUAGAACUGCAGUUGACACUGUUAUUCUAGAGUAGGGGAGAGGAAGGUGGAAUUCUAGGUGUAGGGGUAAAAUCCGUAGAGAUCAAGAGGAAUACUCAUUGCGAAGGCGACCUGCUGGAACAUAACUGACGCUGAUGCGCGAAAGCGUGGGGAGCAAACAGGAUUAGAUACCCUUGUAGUC